CAGCAGCCACGGGAAUACAGAGGGUGCUAGCGUUAAUCGGAUUUACUGGGCGUAAAGCGUGCGUAGGCGGCUUUUUAAGUCGGAUGUGAAAUCCCUGAGCUUAACUUAGGAAUUGCAUUCGAUACUGGGAAGCUAGAGUAUGGGAGAGGAUGGUAGAAUUCCAGGUGUAGCGGUGAAAUGCGUAGAGAUCUGGAGGAAUACCGAUGGCGAAGGCAGCCAUCUGGCCUAAUACUGACGCUGAGGUACGAAAGCAUGGGGAGCAAACAGGAUUAGAUACCCCUGUAGUCCCUGUCUCUUAUAC
RNAcentral lists this ribosomal RNA (301 nucleotides) under uncultured bacterium. RNAcentral's name for it is "partial 16S ribosomal RNA". It matches the Rfam family "Bacterial small subunit ribosomal RNA", at positions 509 to 807 of the family's 1533-position model. The record is from RNAcentral.